CGGCCUCCGAGGGCGGAGAACGCGGCGGCGGUGUUUAUUAGGAGGCUAUGAGGGGCUCGGUGGCGGUUGUACGCUGAUAGAUGAGGCCUGACAGACAGGAGAAGACGACGGGCCAGCGUUUAGCGAGGUGGAGGCAGGAGGAGCCCCGCGCAGCAUCACCUGAGCGCUGGUACCCGCCUCAGCCUCCAGGUCCAGAGGAACACGGGAACAGGGACAGGAAAGGUCUCAUUUCAAGCCCUAUGAGAUAUACAGUAAUUUCUGGGUUGGAUUCCAGUUCGGACCUGGUUUUCUGCACACAGACAAGCGCACGCAUGCAGCAGGGAGGUGUGAGGUUGUCUGCGUCUGAUCCCGGCUGACAGACGUGAUCUCUGCGAGGACUCAGUGGUGGAAAGCGUGCGAGAGCGAGUUCAUCCUUGUCUCGUACCCGUUUCACCUCCUGCAGGACGGAGCUGGUGGAGGUCACAGUCUCAUCUCUGUGUUGUAGGAUGAUAAUACAUGUCUGUUAUGCAGAUGAUGCCUUCAGUCAGUUCAUUUUAUUCACUUGCUGUGUGCUUGGUUUGACAUUCCUUUACUGGAGAAAUAAUAGUUCUGGAGCGCCGGCGUCGUAUCAUGAAGACGCAAAUGAAGACGCAGAACUGCCUCGCGCCCGCGUUUCCGGCUCUGCCUGGUACUGAUAACCUGCCAACACGCGCUGCACACAGAGAGCGGACGGAGCGGAAGUCAUUAGAGCCACGAGCAGGCCGCCGCGUCACAUCCACGGUAAUGAUCAUUGAAAAGCAUUAGGGGCCUAACAGAGUCGCACGCCCUCAACUGUUGAGGCCCAGACCGGGAAUUUGUUUUCAUUACGCUGCAAUAUGCUACUGCACCAGUUUUAAUGAUAAACUAUUGAUAGCUGGCAUCCCGCUUCAUCAUAAUUAUAAUAUUUUACCAGUUUAUGAGUUUCAGCCUCAGUUUUGUGUCUAUGCGGAAAUCAGGGCAGUCACUGAUGUUUUUAAAUCUUAAAAUGAAAUCAUCCUCCCAGAGCUGCCUUCAAGCCCAGACUGAACAACUGAGGCUAAUCAUGAAUACGUAUCGUUCAUCCGCAGUACAGUGCAUUUAAUUUGAAAAUCCAAAGGCUCCACACACGCCUGUCGGGAGCGGCAUUAGUCGGCUGCCGCGGCGUCAGGGUCACGGAUGGUGCAGCU
This 1184-nucleotide long non-coding RNA is filed under the name Betta splendens (Siamese fighting fish). RNAcentral's name for it is "lncRNA (ENSBSLG00000024501.1)". The record is from RNAcentral. Lineage: Eukaryota; Metazoa; Chordata; Actinopteri; Anabantiformes; Osphronemidae.